RNAcentral lists this small nuclear RNA (213 nucleotides) under Suricata suricatta (meerkat). RNAcentral's name for it is "U2 spliceosomal RNA (ENSSSUG00005007732.1)". It matches the Rfam family "U2 spliceosomal RNA". Rfam says of the family: U2 is a small nuclear RNA (snRNA) component of the spliceosome (involved in pre-mRNA splicing). The record is from RNAcentral. Lineage: Eukaryota; Metazoa; Chordata; Mammalia; Carnivora; Herpestidae.
AUCGCUUCUCAGCCUUUUGGCUAGGAUCGAAUGUAGUAUUUGUUCUGAUCAGCUUAAUAUUAUGCUCCAUUCACCUCAUCCAUGGAUGUUACCACCAGGUCCUAUAGACAUUUAAGUUUUAGACCCUGGCAUACAGCGUUGUUGUGUGCCUGCAAAAUGAAGAAGCAUGGAGAGGGGGGGAAAUAUAUUAAAAUUACAUUGAUUUAAACCUAG